CGUGCCCGGGACGGGAUGGCCGGAGCCGGGCGGGCUGUUGCCCCGCGAGGCGCUCAACCUCGUGCGGGCGGUCGCCGCGCCUGGGCUCGCC
Molecule: transfer RNA, 91 nt
Filed under: Asanoa ishikariensis
Lineage: Bacteria; Bacillati; Actinomycetota; Actinomycetes; Micromonosporales; Micromonosporaceae
Description: tRNA-Asn
Source: RNAcentral